ACUGCUCUGUCCCCAGGUGCCCUGUGGGCUACACGGGGCUGUCGUGCCAGCGCUGUGCCCCCCGUUUUGAGCGGGUGACGAGGGGACCCUACCUGGGGAUCUGCUCUGGCUGUGGCUGCCACGGCCACUCCAGCACCUGUGACCCCGUUUUUGGGCACUGCUUGAACUGCCAGCACAACACGGAGGGUCCCCAGUGUGAGAAGUGCAAGCCUGGCUUCUUCGGCGAUGCCACCAAGGGCACAGCCACCGCUUGCCACCCUUGUCCCUGUCCCUACACAGAACCAUCUCGCAGGUUCUCGGAGUCCUGCUUUUUGGACACAGAUGGCCAGGCCACCUGUGAUGCCUGCGCCCCUGGAUACGCUGGUCGCCGUUGUGAGAGGUGCGCCCCAGGCUACGAGGGAGACCCCAUCCAGCCGGGUGGCAAGUGCACCCCGAUUGGUGAGUGGAGGGUGCUGGUUGGGGGGUCCCUGCACCCUUGGGUGCCCCCCACCCUCAUUCUUGCUGCCUGCAGGCCAGGAGCUCAUCAAGUGUGAUGCCCGCGGGGGCCAGGACGAGGCGGGUGGCACUUGUCGCUGCAAGGUGAGGGCAGGGGGCUGGGGGACAGUGGGGCAACAUUGGUGGGGACAAUGGGGGGGCUGGAU
RNAcentral lists this long non-coding RNA (641 nucleotides) under Zonotrichia albicollis (white-throated sparrow). RNAcentral describes it as "lncRNA (ENSZALG00000001985.1)". Lineage: Eukaryota; Metazoa; Chordata; Aves; Passeriformes; Passerellidae. The record is from RNAcentral.